This 403-nucleotide ribosomal RNA is filed under the name uncultured bacterium. Its description in RNAcentral is "partial 16S ribosomal RNA". It matches the Rfam family "Bacterial small subunit ribosomal RNA", at positions 28 to 526 of the family's 1533-position model. The record is from RNAcentral.
GACGAACGCUGGCGGCGUGCCUAAUACAUGCAAGUCGAACGCAGUGGGGACGGGUGAGUAACACGUGGGUAACCUCCCCUCAGAGGGGAUAACCCUUGGAAACAGGUGCUCAACCGAUACUGCUGGAUGGACCCGCGGUGCAUUAGCUAGUUGGUGAGGUAACGGCUCACCAAGGCCACGAUCCAUAGCCGACCUGGGAGGUGGAUCGGCCACACUGGGACUGAGACACGGCCCAGACUCCUACGGGAGGCAGCAGUAGGGAAUCUUCGACAAUGGACGAAAGUCUGACCGAGCAAUGCCGCGUGAGUGAAGAAGGUUUUCGGAUCGUAAAACUCUGUUGUUAGAGAAGCGGUAUCUAACCAGAAAGCCACGGCUAACUACGUGCCAGCAGCCGCGGUAAUAC